CGUAGCCUGAGAGGUGUGAGCCCCAUCCGCCACACACAACAUGGCGGCGACAUACACCUGCGUCCCACUUCCGCUUCCGCUGCCGAGACACGUCACUUCCUCCCCGGUUGCCCUGGAGCCCUGUGGAAGCUAAGAAUGCGAGGAGUCUCUGCUCCUUUCCUCUUCCAGAUUUUUGCUUCAGCUGCGGCGCAGUCUGACCGAGCAGCUUCGAGGGUCUUCCGCCAGCGGCUUGUUGGUGCGGUGGAAUCCCCCAGGGAGCUGAGCAGUUCGUGGAAUCUUCUUACCGGUACAGCUUUCACUGUUGCUUGUGUUACAGUGUGAGGUAAAGGCGAGAAGACAUUUCUCGAGUGCCCUGCUUACCUGCAACUUGACUCCUGAAGGUCAAGAGAGGCAGGUUUGCCCAGUUGUUGUGCGCGGCAUAGGGAGGACGUUUCAUCUGACAACAGGAAUGUAGCUUUUAUGCUAAUAAAAUGCUUUUAAAAUUA
Molecule: long non-coding RNA, 485 nt
Organism: Lynx canadensis (Canada lynx)
Lineage: Eukaryota; Metazoa; Chordata; Mammalia; Carnivora; Felidae
Exons: 2
Source: RefSeq, a predicted model, not a curated record